AACUUUUAGCAACGGAUCUCUUGGUUCUGGCAUCGAUGAAGAACGCAGCGAAAUGCGAUAAGUAAUGUGAAUUGCAGAAUUCGGCGAAUCAUCGAAUCUUUGAACGCACAUUGCGCCCGCUAGUAUUCUGGCGGGCAUGCCUGUUCGAGCGUCAUUCGACCCUCAAGCCUUUGCUUGGUGUUGGGGCGCUACGGGCCUUCCGGGGCUCGUAGGCCCUGAAAUCCAGUGGCGGACUCGCUGUAUGUUCGGGCGCAGUAGCAUUAUGUUUUCUCGCCUGGGACUUGUAGCGGGAUCCAGCCGUUAAACCCCCCAAAGUUACCAAAGGUUGACCUCGGAUCAGGUAGGAAUACCCGCUGAACUUAAGCAUAUCAAUAAGCGGAGGCU
This 384-nucleotide unclassified non-coding RNA is filed under the name uncultured Sordariomycetes. Its description in RNAcentral is "sequence contains ITS2". The stretch from base 1 to 154 matches the Rfam family "5.8S ribosomal RNA". Lineage: Eukaryota; Fungi; Ascomycota; Sordariomycetes. The record is from RNAcentral.